Molecule: ribosomal RNA, 663 nt
Filed under: Triticum aestivum (bread wheat)
Lineage: Eukaryota; Viridiplantae; Streptophyta; Magnoliopsida; Poales; Poaceae
Description: partial small subunit ribosomal RNA
Source: RNAcentral
AUGUGCUUGGCCCAGUACCAGACCCGCUUGGUCCUCUACGUCCACUCUUCAUCAGGUCCCCAUGCCGGACAAUGGCGCACCGUCGCAUUUGAUGGCUGGACCGCUCUCCUCGCAGGAGUCAGUGUCCAUGUGCGAUCCUCUGUUGCGUUCGGAAAGCGCUACUACGCGCGCGGGUGCUUCUGUUGGCCGAUAUGUGCGAUCAACAAGUUGCUCUUGCUCGACACAGGCACCACGGAGUUCUCCUCCGUCGACCUUCCGCCUGAUCUCAUGAAUCACCAGGUGGCCUUUGUGGAAGCAACCGAAGGGAGGCUUGGGAUGUUCGCUCUCAGCCAAGUUCCCACACACCUCGUGCCUCGCCUCCGGUAUUCCAUUUUGGUUCGCACUGGGGAUAACCCAGGGCAGUGGCAAAAGAAAAAGGUGGUCACAUUGUCCCAUGAUUACUGCUAUCAGAUCAUUGGUGUAGCUGGGGGGUACCUGCUCCUAUAUCUGGUUACAGACAACCCGGAUUCGUUCCCUCCGGGUAAAGUGCCAGACCCGGGGUGCUUUUCACUGAAUCUUCGCACUAUGGAGCUUGAGCGCUUCUCUCGGAAUAGAGAUAUACUGCCAUUGCAGGGCCAACUGUAUUCGGGCUUCCCGCCAUACUUGUCUCCACCAACUAUUUGA